AUAAUGUAGCUUAUAAGUUAGUAAUUUUUUUAGUCUCAGUUUGAUUUACUUACAUAUAAAGGUAGAAGUGCACAAAUGGCCUGCGGCAUGUGGCCUGUCCUUGGUUCGUCUUGAGCCUGGCCUAGUCAAAGCCCAACCCGAUUUAGGCCAACUUGCAAGGCCGCAUACAGACCAUGAUUUUUCGCCUCAUAUCCAGCUUGCCCUGGCUUAUGG
RNAcentral lists this long non-coding RNA (213 nucleotides) under Panax ginseng (ginseng). Its description in RNAcentral is "long non-coding RNA (PGIN_LNC011100)". The record is from RNAcentral. Lineage: Eukaryota; Viridiplantae; Streptophyta; Magnoliopsida; Apiales; Araliaceae.